CCCUUAGAUGUCCUGGGCCGCACGCGUGCUACACUGACGCAUACAACGAGUAUUUCCAGCUCCGAGAGGUAGCUGGUAAUCAGCAAUAUGCGUCGUGAUGGGGAUUGAUCUUUGGAAUUGUGGAUCAUGAACGAGGAAUGCCUAGUAAGCGCAGUUCAUCAAACUGCGUUGAUUAAGUCCCUGCCCUUUGUACACACCGCCCGUCGCUCCUACCGAUUUCGAGUGGUCCGGUGAGUUGUCAGGAUGAGACGCUUUUGGCGGGCAACUGCGAGAAGCGACUCAGAAUCUCAGCAAACCUUAUCAUUUAGAGGAAGGAGAAGUCGUAACA
RNAcentral lists this ribosomal RNA (328 nucleotides) under uncultured eukaryote. RNAcentral describes it as "partial 18S ribosomal RNA". It matches the Rfam family "Eukaryotic small subunit ribosomal RNA", at positions 1470 to 1796 of the family's 1831-position model. The record is from RNAcentral.